AUAAGCGCCGGUAAGGUGAUAUGAACCGUUAUAACCGGCGAUACCCGAAUGGGGAAACCCAGUGUGACUCGUCACACUAUCAUUAACUGAAUCCAUAGGUUAAUGAGGCGAACCGGGGGAACUGAAACAUCUAAGUACCCCGAGGAAAAGAAAUCAACCGAGAUUCCCCCAGUAGCGGCGAGCGAACGGGGAGGAGCCCAGAGCCUGAAUCAGCAUGUGUGUUAGUGGAAGCGUCUGGAAAGGCGCGCGAUACAGGGUGACAGCCCCGUACACAAAAGCGCAUGUGCUGUGAGCUCGAUGAGUAGGGCGGGACACGUGGUAUCCUGUCUGAAUAUGGGGGGACCAUCCUCCAAGGCUAAAUACUCCUGACUGACCGAUAGUGAACCAGUACCGUGAGGGAAAGGCGAAAAGAACCCCGGCGAGGGGAGUGAAAAAGAACCUGAAACCGUGU
This 451-nucleotide ribosomal RNA is filed under the name Salmonella enterica. Its description in RNAcentral is "partial 23S ribosomal RNA". It matches the Rfam family "Bacterial large subunit ribosomal RNA", at positions 71 to 561 of the family's 2925-position model. Lineage: Bacteria; Pseudomonadati; Pseudomonadota; Gammaproteobacteria; Enterobacterales; Enterobacteriaceae. The record is from RNAcentral.